GGUAGUGUGGCAGAGUUGUCUAAGGCGCUGGAUUUAGGCUCCAAUCUCAAAAGAGGCAUGGGUUAAAAUCCCACCACUGCCA
RNAcentral lists this transfer RNA (82 nucleotides) under Danionella translucida. It matches the Rfam family "tRNA". Rfam says of the family: Transfer RNA (tRNA) molecules are approximately 80 nucleotides in length. Their secondary structure includes four short double-helical elements and three loops (D, anti-codon, and T loops). RNAcentral also lists the same sequence under 1 other name. The record is from Rfam by way of RNAcentral. Lineage: Eukaryota; Metazoa; Chordata; Actinopteri; Cypriniformes; Danionidae.